RNAcentral lists this ribosomal RNA (547 nucleotides) under Trigonopeltastes delta. RNAcentral describes it as "eukaryotic LSU rRNA". It matches the Rfam family "Eukaryotic large subunit ribosomal RNA", at positions 324 to 661 of the family's 3401-position model. Lineage: Eukaryota; Metazoa; Arthropoda; Insecta; Coleoptera; Scarabaeidae. The record is from RNAcentral.
GACCACGAGACCGANNGCGAACAAGUNCCGUGAGGGAAAGUUGAAAAGAACUUUGAAGAGAGAGUUCAAGAGUACGUGAAACCGUUCAGGGGUAAACCUGAGAAACCCGAAAGGUCGAACGGGGAGAUUCAGACGCGUCUCGGAUCACCGCGGCGAGUCGGCGACGCGUGACGGUCGGCCUCGCGCCGAUCGCUCCGUCGUCGUUCCGUCCGCGACCGAACGCGUGCACUUCUCCCCCUGUAGGACGUCGCGACCCGUUGGGAGCCGGUCGAAGGCGCGCGGUGGAGCCCGCGUAAGCUUCGUGCUCGCGCGGACCCGCGUCGCCCGGCCGGCUGUAUUCACAUACCGACGGUAUACUUAGAUAGGCGAGGGGCCGCGAUCAGUUCGCGUCCGGCCGGUCGCAAGCGCGUACGGAUAAUCUGGCAUUCGGACCUAGUGCCGGAUCCGGACCCGUACGGCUGCUGGUGGCCGUGUUCUCGGACAGUCCCCUGACACGCCGGUCUGCGGCGCUAUAGCUUUGGGUACUUUCAGGACCCGUCUUGAAACA